UGGGAUGUCAGAGUCUCCUUGGAAGAGUCCUAAUUAAGGACUCAGAAUGAUUGACAGGUGGUGGAAGCUCAAGAAAGCACACUUGAUAUGCAGCAGAAGACAGUCUCUGAGUUGCAAAAAACCUGGCAAUUGGAGACCUUGAAAAACUUUUGUGUAAUUGGCAUUGAUGUUAUCCAUAUGGUGGACAAAUGUGAUGUCUGCAGAAUGUCAAGGCAAUCAAAGUCUCUGCAGACUCUACUGUGAGAGAGAACCCUCAGAUAAGACACAAUGAAUGCAUACUGCUUUCCUUUCCAUGAAAAAUGUGAACCUCUUUUGAUCUUCCUUACUGAUAAAGGUUGAGAAGUAUGUACUUGCUAGA
This 358-nucleotide small RNA is filed under the name Pan troglodytes (chimpanzee). RNAcentral describes it as "processed transcript". Lineage: Eukaryota; Metazoa; Chordata; Mammalia; Primates; Hominidae. The record is from RNAcentral.